GGGAGGGAAGCGGGGCUCCGCGGGCGGCCUCCGUGGCCGCGGGUUCGGAACCCGGCUGGGCGCAAGGUGCCCGGCGUGAGCGAGGUCCGCGCUUCCGGGAGCGGAGCAUCCUCUCGGGCCGGACCCGCGGGCUGGAGUCAACCCCACCGCACCCCAACCCGGGUUCACGAUUGCUCCAGCGCGGGGCUCUGGGCUCUGGGCUGGACCCUCAGGGAGACCACAAGACGAUCUGGUGAACCACGACUCUGUACACCUGGUUAAAGGAUUAUUAUUGCUGUGCGGUUAUAAGCCUAUCCGGGGGCAUAAAGAAUCCCUGAACAUUACAGUGCUGAACAUUUGGCACGUUUCAGGAUCCACGGACUUGCUAAAUCUUAUUCCAAACUGAGGCUGAGAAAACGGUGCUAGCUUUUGCUCACCAUAGUUUUGAAGGAAAAUGGAACAAGCAAAGUUGUUCUUGGAAAACUAGGUUAAUUGAAGGCAAAUAAAGAUAUUCCCCUUCAGCAGAAGGAGCUGGUUAGGAAGUACAUCAAAUGAGGGCCAUGUUAUACAAAUGCCAGUGGGUUUCUCAAGAGUCUUUGGAAGAGCAAUGAAAGGAGAGGAAGUAGGAAGAAGACCCCAGCCCAGCCUGCACUGGUGGGUUCCUGGGCCAGGAGCAAACCCCGGGCACCAGGCGUACCCCACUCUCCUGUGUCCACACUGUCUGAGGCUGGGUUUCCGAGGAGGAGGAGCUGAGUUCUGUCCAGUGGAUCAACCACAGGUUUAGAAAUGGGGGAUCUGUAUUCGGGCUGCCUUCAGACUCUAGCACUAUAUCACCACGUACCACUCCAGUGUGCUGGAGCUAGAACCUCCCCCCUUUUCACUACUUAACCAUUGCAUAAUAAUUACAUUGCCCUGCUUAUUGAACACUAAAAGAGAAUUUGCACCUCUUUCUUUGCAGUUAUUGGCCAGUGUUCCAUUCUAAUGAGGUCCCCGGAUUGGGCUCUAUGGAGGAGGGAGGGGGAGCUUGGUAAAGUUCAGCUCUGAAAUGCAGAACAAAUCCUAUAAAAGAAAGUAAUCGAUUAUCUGAUAGGUAGAGGAGGACAAAAGAACUUGGGGCCAUGUUUAAGUAGGCCUCAGCAGUUUGCAAAAACUUUUCUUUAUAUUUGACACAGAAAACUUCAUAAAUUGCAUUUCUUUCUCUUCUUUUCUCUUUUUCUUCUUUCUUUCAUUUUCUUUCCAGCUUUUAAAUCAUCUCCAACCUGGGAGAUUUUCUUUUCUUUUCUAGUGAAAUGCUCCCGGAAGGCUUGGAUUAGACACCAACUAGCCACAAAUGCCCCAACAAUGAAUAAGCUGCGCCCAGACGUGUGGAGCCGUGUGGAGGGACCGGACCGGACCACAGCCCCCAGCUGUACCUGGUUCGGCGAUGAGGUCUUGCCAGCCCCAUACCAUUAGAUGUGAAAGGUGACUUGAAAACAUGACGUGAUUCUGGGCAAAAUCAUUGUGUCCUGUUGGCAAGAAGAUGUAGUUAUAUUCCCAAGUUCUGCUCAGGAACAGCCGGCCACAUGUCGGGGCUGACCCUUGAGAUGAGACAGGAUCCGUCCAGCACAUGGGAUUCAUGAAGAAACUCAUGUGUUUGGGGAGAGGGGAUGGGGUUUGGGGGUCGCCUCUCCAUUCUUCUUGCUGAGGGCUCCUGUGAUAAUCAGUGGCUCUGGCAGCCGCCUGGCAAACAAGGAUAAUUCAUCACCAAACAAUUUUCACUCUGACAUAGUUUAAUGAGCUCAUUUAAACUUUGCUUUUACAAAAAAUUUUUUCCCUGAUAAUGUUAAUCUUCUCCCUGCUAUUCCUUACAACUUAAUUUUUUUUUUUUUCACUUCUUGGUCGGCCUUGCAGGGAGUUGUGCUGCAGUUAACACAGAGGUAGAGGGCAUCGGUGGGUCAGCACGAGCCUUUUGGGCAGUAAGGUACCCCUGCUCCUGGAGCGACCCCAUGAGAGGCACAUCCUCACGUGUGUGGUGUGCUCCUCCUCACAGGUAUGACAUUUUGUCUGAAUUCCAUAGUCUGAGUUCAGGGGUCCACACACAGACUCCUAACUUCUGGCCACAGUCCUGAAUUCACAGCCAUAACUCUACUGAUGUUUGGUUUUAACCUUUUGAAAAUCAUCUU
This 2141-nucleotide long non-coding RNA is filed under the name Heterocephalus glaber (naked mole-rat). Its description in RNAcentral is "lncRNA (ENSHGLG00100040704.1)". The record is from RNAcentral. Lineage: Eukaryota; Metazoa; Chordata; Mammalia; Rodentia; Bathyergidae.